AGUGAACGCUGGCGGUAGGCCUAACACAUGCAAGUCGAACGGCAGCACAGUAAGAGCUUGCUCUUACGGGUGGCGAGUGGCGGACGGGUGAGGAAUACAUCGGAAUCUACUUUUUCGUGGGGGAUAACGUAGGGAAACUUACGCUAAUACCGCAUACGACCUACGGGUGAAAGCAGGGGAUCUUCGGACCUUGCGCGAUUGAAUGAGCCGAUGUCGGAUUAGCUAGUUGGCGGGGUAAAGGCCCACCAAGGCGACGAUCCGUAGCUGGUCUGAGAGGAUGAUCAGCCACACUGGAACUGAGACACGGUCCAGACUCCUACGGGAGGCAGCAGUGGGGAAUAUUGGACAAUGGGCGCAGGCCUGAUCCAGCCAUACCGCGUGGGUGAAGAAGGCCUUCGGGUUGUAAAGCCCUUUUGUUGGGAAAGAAAAGCAGCAGGUUAAUACCCCGCUGUUCUGACGGUACCCAAAGAAUAAACACCGGCUAACUUCGU
RNAcentral lists this ribosomal RNA (491 nucleotides) under uncultured bacterium. RNAcentral describes it as "partial 16S ribosomal RNA". It matches the Rfam family "Bacterial small subunit ribosomal RNA", at positions 29 to 506 of the family's 1533-position model. The record is from RNAcentral.